GUAGGCUGCGUUCGGAGAUUGAGAAUAUUAGUUAAGGAAAACAGUGUUGUAUAUAAAAAUAAUAUAAUAAGAAUAUUUUAUAUUAAUAAAUGCAGUAAAAAAUUCACCGAGUCUAUAAAAUAAAAAAAAAAAUAAAAAAUCUUUCGAAAAACUCCGACGACUUCCAGAUCGUGAAAUUAGCACCGGCAUUUUUGCUAGAAUCACAUUGAUUUCUUUUGUUUAUUCUCACAAGUGUGCUUUGGAUGUUAAAGUGUAAUCAAGCUAUAAAUAAUAAAUUUUUUAUGCAAUUAUAUGUAUGUAGGCAUACAUGGCAUAUUUGAAUUUACAGUGGAUGACUACAAUGAAUUGACUACAAUUGAUGACUACGCGAAUUAUCGUAACACUAUACGACAAAAUCGACUUUUUUCUGGGUAUUGGACCAAAUAUAAAUUAUCCGGGAGUUUGAGACAUAGGUAAAGAAGGGCGUUCUUUGAUUUUCGAAAAAAAAAAUUUUCAAAAUCGAAAUAUUCUGUCAUAUAAGUUUGACCCAAUCAUUUUAUACACCACUGAAUUAAGAAGAAAAUUUGGAUUGUAUCCAUAU
This is a long non-coding RNA of Zeugodacus cucurbitae (melon fly), 580 nucleotides long. RefSeq lists it as uncharacterized. The record is from RefSeq and is a predicted model, not a curated record. The transcript is spliced from 2 exons. Lineage: Eukaryota; Metazoa; Arthropoda; Insecta; Diptera; Tephritidae.